This 253-nucleotide ribosomal RNA is filed under the name uncultured bacterium. RNAcentral's name for it is "partial 16S ribosomal RNA". It matches the Rfam family "Bacterial small subunit ribosomal RNA", at positions 524 to 776 of the family's 1533-position model. The record is from RNAcentral.
UACGGAGGGGGCUAGCGUUGUUCGGAAUUACUGGGCGUAAAGCGCGCGUAGGCGGACCUGCAAGUCGGGGGUGAAAGCCCGAGGCUCAACCUCGGAACUGCCUUUGAUACUGGAGAGCUAGAGUCCGGAAGAGGUGAGUGGAACUGCGAGUGUAGAGGUGAAAUUCGUAGAUAUUCGCAAGAACACCAGUGGCGAAGGCGGCUCACUGGUCCGGUACUGACGCUGAGGUGCGAAAGCGUGGGGAGCAAACAGG